UGGGGAAUAUUGCACAAUGGGGGAAACCCUGAUGCAGCGACGCCGCGUGAACGAAGAAGGUAUUCGUAUCGUAAAGUUCUGUCCUAUGGGAAGAUAAUGACAGUACCAUAGAAGAAAGCUCCGGCUAAAUACGUGCCAGCAGCCGCGGUAAUACGUAUGGAGCGAGCGUUGUCCGGAAUUAUUGGGCGUAAAGGGUACGCAGGCGGUUUAAUAAGUCGAAUGUUAAAGAUCGGGGCUCAACCCCGCAAAGCAUUGGAAACUGAUAAACUUGAGUAGUGGAGAGGAAAGUGGAAUUCCUAGUGUAGUGGUGAAAUACGUAGAUAUUAGGAGGAAUACCAGUAGCGAAGGCGACUUUCUGGACACAAACUGACGCUGAGGUACGAAAGCGAGGGGAGCAAACAGG
RNAcentral lists this ribosomal RNA (403 nucleotides) under bacterium. RNAcentral describes it as "partial 16S ribosomal RNA". It matches the Rfam family "Bacterial small subunit ribosomal RNA", at positions 355 to 776 of the family's 1533-position model. The record is from RNAcentral.